RNAcentral lists this transfer RNA (104 nucleotides) under Phytophthora infestans T30-4. RNAcentral describes it as "tRNA-Tyr for anticodon GUA". It matches the Rfam family "tRNA". From Rfam's summary of the family: Transfer RNA (tRNA) molecules are approximately 80 nucleotides in length. The record is from Rfam by way of RNAcentral. Lineage: Eukaryota; Oomycota; Peronosporomycetes; Peronosporales; Peronosporaceae.
CCGAGUGUAGCUCAGUUGGUAGAGCGAUUGACUGUAGUGUUCUAUACUGUGUUUCAGUUUCUCGGAAAUCACAUUGGUCGCUGGUUCGAUUCCGGCCACUUCGG